RNAcentral lists this ribosomal RNA (457 nucleotides) under uncultured bacterium. RNAcentral's name for it is "bacterial SSU rRNA". It matches the Rfam family "Bacterial small subunit ribosomal RNA", at positions 29 to 531 of the family's 1533-position model. The record is from RNAcentral.
AACGAACGCUGGCGGCAGGCCUAACACAUGCAAGUCGAACGCCCCGCAAGGGGAGUGGCAGACGGGUGAGUAACGCGUGGGAACCUACCUAGAGGUGCGGAAUAGCCCAGGGAAACUUGGAGUAAUACCGCAUAAGCCCGCAAGGGGAAAGAUUUAUCGCCUUUAGAUGGGCCCGCGUCUGAUUAGCUAGUUGGUGAGGUAAUGGCUCACCAAGGCGACGAUCAGUAGCUGGUUUGAGAGAAUGACCAGCCACACUGGGACUGAGACACGGCCCAGACUCCUACGGGAGGCAGCAGUGGGGAAUCUUGGACAAUGGGGGCAACCCUGAUCCAGCCAUGCCGCGUGAGUGACGAAGGCCUUAGGGUUGUAAAGCUCUUUUGGCGGGGACGAUAAUGACGGUACCCGCAGAAUAAGUCCCGGCUAACUUCGUGCCAGCAGCCGCGGUAAUGUCUGUACU